GACGAACGCUGGCGGCGUGCUUAACACAUGCAAGUCGAACGGUGAAGGGACCGGUUUUUGCUGGUUCUGGAUGAGUGGCGAACGGGUGAGUAACACGUGAGUAACCUGCCCCCUUCUUCUGGAUAACCGCAUGAAAGUGUGGCUAAUACGGGAUAUUCUGCGCCUGCUGCAUGGUGGGUGUGGGUUAGAUAUUGUUUCGGUGGGGGAUGGGCUCGCGGCCUAUCAGCUUGUUGGUGGGGUGAUGGCCUACCAAGGCGGUGACGGGUAGCCGGCCUGAGAGGGUGGACGGUCACACUGGGACUGAGGCACGGCCCAGACUCCUACGGGAGGCAGCAGUGGGGAAUAUUGCACAAUGGGCGCAAGCCUGAUGCAGCGACGCCGCGUGAGGGAUGGAGGCCUUCGGGUUGUAAACCUCUUUCGCCAGUGAAGCAGGCCUGUCCCUUGUGUGGGUGGGUUGACGGUAGCUGGAUAAGAAGCGCCGGCUAACUACGUG
Molecule: ribosomal RNA, 493 nt
Filed under: uncultured bacterium
Lineage: Bacteria
Description: partial 16S ribosomal RNA
Rfam family: Bacterial small subunit ribosomal RNA
Source: RNAcentral